This 96-nucleotide transfer RNA is filed under the name Alphaproteobacteria bacterium. RNAcentral's name for it is "tRNA-OTHER". The record is from RNAcentral. Lineage: Bacteria; Pseudomonadati; Pseudomonadota; Alphaproteobacteria.
GGGUGCUUUGGUGUCCCGCCUUGACGCCUACUGUCACGGGUAUUAGUCUGACUCUUAAUCAGCGGGUCCAAGGUUCGAGUCCUUGUGCGCCCACCA